CAGAUGGCAACACGAAUUCUAGCAGAUGCUAUGGGUCUUGGAAAGAUAGUGGUGGCAUUUUCUCUAAUACUCCCCAAGAGUAGGUAGGGGAAGCACUGGCAAUCAAGAAAACACCAAGGAGAACAAAGAUGCCUGCCCAAACACCCUUUCUAAAGCAAAUGGUGGCUCUCUUAUUGUUUGUCCCGUGGCCUUGCUUGGUCAGUGGAAGGUGAAUUCUCCUCUCAUACUUUCGGGAUAAAGAAGACGAAUUGCAUAUAUCAUCCCUAAUUUUGCCCAUUCUCACUGCUUCGUAUGCAAAUGAUGAUCAAACCACCCUGCAACAAAUAGGAAGGAAAUAUAAAUGCCUUUGGUGCUUCAUUUAAUUAACUGGUGCAAUGGAUAUUAUAUCGUGGAAUGCUGAUAUAUAUUGUAAGCUAUCUUAUUGGCUGUUCUAAGAACCUCAGGAUGAGUUUGAAACCCAUUCAGAGCCUGAGAAUAUUUCCACUUUCGUCCACUGUGUUGGGGACAGGACAAACGACCCUUAGAUUAUAUCUGGAUAUGAUGUCGUCUUAACCACAUAUGGUGUCCUAACAGAAUCUUAUAAACGUGUAAGAAUCUGCUAUCUUUCAUUAACCAAUCAGUUUCAUUUGCAUAAAAAGAGAAUCAAAUUACUAAAUUGCCUGUCUGACUUUUAUUUUUCUUUUCAUUUUAUUUAAAUCUCAAUUAUCUUCUCUUCCAAUCUUCCCACUUGCAUGAAACUUUGUGACAUCUGAUACAGGAUUCCGAGGACAGCAUUUUUUACAAGGUGGAGUGGUGUAGGGUGUUCUUAGAUGAAGCUCAUACCAUUAAAUCUUGGAUGACAACGGGUGCUCAGUCUGCCUUUGCAUUGCCCUCAAACUGUUACUGGUGUCUUACAGGGACGCCUCUUAAGGUCUGUUUACCUGUUCUUUGAUGUGCUUUUUUUGUCCAAAUUGACGGGAUUCAAGAUCGCCGAAGCAAUAUGGUGAACAUCUCUUACUUUAUUUUAGCCAUUUCUUGAAUGCUGACAUUACUUUUUCAUCAAGAAUAACUUGGAAGACCUGUACAGCCGUCUAUGCUUCUUGCAUGUGGAACCUUGGUGCAACUGGGCAUGCUAGGAUAACACAAACACAUCACUUCUUGAUUACUGCAUGGUGUAGAUGACUAGUUGAUGUUUUACAUAGAUAACCCCAUUAUCUUGACUGUUGUAGCCUGUACAAUUAAGCUGUGGAGUUAGUCCUCUGGACACCUUGUUCAUAAUAAGUUUACUUUCGUUUAAGUGGAGCAAAUUGAUUCAGAGGCCUUAUGAAAACGGUGAUCCAAGAGGUCUGAAAUUGAUCAAAGCUAUUUUGAGGCCAUUAAUGUUGAGGAGAACCAGGGAUACAAAGGACAAGGAAGGAAGGCCCAUACUUGUUCUUCCUCCAACUGACUUUCAAAUCACCGAGUGCGAACAGUCAGAAGCUGAACUUGACUUUUACGAUGCCCUUUUCAGAAGAUCAAAAGCACUUGAAUGAAACCAGCUGCUGCUUAUAUAAUGCAAAGAGGUCCAAUUUGAUCAGUUUGUCGCACAAGGGAAGGUCCUUCAUAACUAUGAUUCGAUCCUUGAGCUACCACGAGCGAGGCAGCGUUGCCAUAACCCAUUUCUUGUUAUGUGGAAGGAAGGAUAUAGUUUCAAAUAACAUCAACAACUUGUUAACAAAAAGAAGACUGAUCUUCUGCUGUUCUUUCUAUUUCCUUGUUUCUGAUUUGUCUGAACAUACACAGUCAAACUGAUUCACAGCAGUACGCUGACUUCGGACAAGCUUGCUAGAAGGUUCCUGGAAACAAAUGUUGAUCAUGCCACUCCAAUACAGACAGUCCCAACAAGGGCAUAUAUGGAAGAGGUUAUGGAGGGCAUCUGACGGGCGGAAAAUACCGAGUGCCACAUGUGCUCGGAGCUCGCAGAGAACCCUGUGCUCACACCAUCUGCACAUAGGGUGUGCAGGGAAUGUCUCCUCUCAAGUUGGCGAAUGCCAACAACUGGGCUAUGUCCCAUCUGUCGAACAUUUCUAAAGAAAACUGACCUCAUCACAUGCCCAACAGAGAACAAGUUCCGGGUUGACUUUGGGAAGAACUGGGAGGAGUCUUCAAAGGUUUCAAAGCUCCUGGAAUGCUUGGAACAUAUUCGUAGGUCAGGUUCUGGUGAAAACAACAUUGUUUUUAGUCAGUGAACUUAUUUUUUUGAUCUCUUGGAGAUCACAUUGAGAGGGAGAGGAACUGAGCUCUUAAGGUUAGAUGAAAAACUACAAGAGAAGCAGAGGGAGAGGGUUUUGAAGUUCAGUGAAACCAACGAGAAAACUGUAUGCAGUUUCCAAGAACACGCGUGUCGAGCUUCUUAAACUUUGGUACUUAAACAAUCAUGACGGCUUAGUAGUUCUUAAUGGUCAAUAUUGAAGUAUCUUAACUAUCUUUUGCUUGUUGCUCUGUAAAUUUCAUGAAUUACUUAUUAUGAAUAAAAAAGUAAUUCUGCA
Populus nigra (black poplar) is the source of this 2507-nucleotide long non-coding RNA. RefSeq lists it as uncharacterized. The record is from RefSeq and is a predicted model, not a curated record. The transcript has 5 exons. Lineage: Eukaryota; Viridiplantae; Streptophyta; Magnoliopsida; Malpighiales; Salicaceae.